GAUUACUUAUUCUGACUGGAUGCAGUUUCACAGACUCCAUAGAGAGAGCCACAUUGCUUCUUAACUGUCUUCACCUACUUCUCAGGAGUGGCGGCCCCAGAGAAGGAGUAGGACACAUACACAAUAUCUCAAGACCUUCAAGAUGCUAGAGAAGUCUGAUAAGUGACAGAGAAGACUCAUGUGUGGGAGAAGCUGACUUGGUGUUCAUGCAGAGUCUUUACCCAGCAAAAUGAGGUGCAUUUUGUCUGCUGCAACGGAUCAGCACCUAUAAUCUUCACUUCUGACAUCCACAAUGCAACUUCAGCUCAGAAACUAGAACGGAUUAAAGAAGACAUAGCAGAUGUGCUACAAUGACAGUGAAGCAUCUACGUCUGUGAUUAAAUCAGGA
Molecule: long non-coding RNA, 388 nt
Organism: Chinchilla lanigera (long-tailed chinchilla)
Lineage: Eukaryota; Metazoa; Chordata; Mammalia; Rodentia; Chinchillidae
Exons: 3
Source: RefSeq, a predicted model, not a curated record